Molecule: long non-coding RNA, 491 nt
Organism: Drosophila willistoni
Lineage: Eukaryota; Metazoa; Arthropoda; Insecta; Diptera; Drosophilidae
Exons: 2
Source: RefSeq, a predicted model, not a curated record
AGGCCUCCUAGCUCUCUCUCUUUCUCUGUCGCUCUUGAUGAUUGACGGAAAUUUAGUUGUCGUCUCUUUCGUGUUUGUGAAUAGAUUUUACUAUAUAGUUGUAAAGUAGGUAAUAGAGGUUGGUUGGUUGCUCUUUCUUUCUCUGGGUUACAAAUUACAAUCUUUUACGCGUGCUUACAGCAUUCAAAAUCUUGAUCAGCGACACGUUUGAUGAUGGGAGGUUCAGGCCAGGGCCUCCCAGGCCUUUAUAAAGAGCUCCAACCAUAGACCGUGUAGAUAUCAACAAAAUAAAUAUGAAAACUCUUGGAUAUACGAAGAUCCUACAAAUUGCCAUAGUUAUGGUGAUUGCAGCUGCUUUGAAGUUUGAGGAGGCACAGCAAUUAUCUGGAGGUUGUCGUUGUGGUGGCAGGCGUGGUUGAACCCAUUUGGAUCGAUAUCGAUCCGCAUAAGAUCGAUCAAUAAACAUAUGCAGCAGCUUCAGCAAUUGUGAA